Molecule: non-coding RNA, 734 nt
Organism: Drosophila melanogaster (fruit fly)
Lineage: Eukaryota; Metazoa; Arthropoda; Insecta; Diptera; Drosophilidae
Source: Ensembl
CAAAAUAGAAAACGUCACACACAGCCGCCUCAAACUGCAUUUCCCCCUAAUUGCAUCACCCACACAUCGCGCUUGUUGUUGCUGUGAGUCAUGCAAACAACAACGGACUCCAUUGAGUGGCAGCUACCAGUCUUCAAUACCAAAUCAAGCAUUACUUGCAUAACCCAUUGGAGUCAUCGACCACAUUGUCCCAUACCCAUCAUGAUGAACAUCAUCAUUGCGAUCGGCGGGCAGACCAGACCAGACCGGGGCCUGGAUAAAUAUUUUUCCAAAACACAACUCGAACAUGGAUCCGAGAACUCGGACUGGAUGCGCCUCUUGAAGACGUCAGGAAAAGCCAGUAGCCGGUAGAGAAAGAGCUGGUCGGUUGGUUGGUUGGACAGACAGUCAGACAGACAGACAGAGCAUGUGUUCUUCUCACCACCAUCGGUCAGCAGCUUUUGAAGCACCCACUGACGGGACCCAACAAGAACUCAGCUCCGCAGCAUGCGUCUGGCACCCAAGUAAUCCAACCAUCUAACCAUCCAACCAUCCAUCCAUCCGUGAGUCCAUGUCCAAGCCAUCCAAUCUUAACCCGUUCGUUUGGUUCCCACUGUUUCCCGGCUUUUAACGCAGCGCUGCACUGAUGCAUGACCAAACAUCUUCAGUUCUGGUCAGUUUGGAGCUCCGUGCUCCCCCUCACACCGUUCAUUUUAUUUCUUUUCUUGGAAAUCUGUUGACGCAGCUCGACGAGA